This 82-nucleotide non-coding RNA is filed under the name Eubacterium aggregans. Its description in RNAcentral is "c-di-GMP-I riboswitch aptamer". It matches the Rfam family "c-di-GMP-I riboswitch aptamer". From Rfam's summary of the family: GEMM was predicted in a large-scale screen for bacterial structured RNA regulatory elements. Genes associated with GEMM are involved in a diverse array of functions, including chemotaxis regulation, signal transduction, secretion and chitin. Lineage: Bacteria; Bacillati; Bacillota; Clostridia; Eubacteriales; Eubacteriaceae. The record is from Rfam by way of RNAcentral.
AAUAUUAUUUGGCAUAGCUACUGAAAGGUAGUGACGCAAAGCUUUAGGGCCUUUUCCGUUUGGAUGGUAGCCAGCUGCACGA